AGGUUAAGCUACAAAGAGCACACGGAGGAUGCCUAGGCGCCAGGAGCCGACGAAGGACGUGGCGAACAACGAUAAAGCCUCGGGGAGCUGUAAGCAAGCUUUGAUCCGGGGAUGUCCGAAUGGGGAAACCCGGCUGUCUUCAUCGACAGUCACUUUCUGCUGAAUACAUAGGCAGAAUAGAGGCAGACCAGGGGAACUGAAACAUCUAAGUACCCUGAGGAAGAGAAAACAAUAGUGAUUCCGUCAGUAGCGGCGAGCGAACGCGGAUUAGCCCAAACCAAGGAGCUUGCUCCUUGGGGUUGUGGGACGUCUCACAUGGAGUUACAAAGGAACCGGUUAGAUGAAGAGGUCUGGAAAGGCCCGCCAGAGAAGGUAAAAGCCCUGUAGUUCAAAACUUGUUCUCUCCGAGACGGAUCCCGAGUAGUGCGGGGCACGUGAAACCCCGUAUGAAUCCGGCAGGACCAUCUGCCAAGGCUAAAUACUCCCUGGCGACCGAUAGUGAAGCAGUACCGUGAGGGAAAGGUGAAAAGCACCCCGGAAGGGGAGUGAAAUAGAUCCUGAAACCGUGUGCUUACAAGAAGUCAGAGCCCGAUCUAUGGGUGAUGGCGUGCCUUUUGUAGAAUGAACCGGCGAGUUACGUUCCCGUGCAAGGUUAAGGUGAAGAGCUGAAGCCGCAGCGAAAGCGAGUCUGAAUAGGGCGACUUGAGUACGUGGACGUAGACCCGAAACCGGGUGAUCUACCCCUGUCCAGGGUGAAGGUGCGGUAACACGCACUGGAGGCCCGAACCCACGCAUGUUGAAAAAUGCGGGGAUGAGGUGGGGGUAGCGGAGAAAUUCCAAUCGAACCCGGAGAUAGCUGGUUCUCCCCGAAAUAGCUUUAGGGCUAGCCUCGGAAAGAAGAAUCGUGGAGGUAGAGCACUGAUUGGGUGCGGGGCCCGCAAGGGUUACCAAGCUCAGUCAAACUCCGAAUGCCAUAGAUUUAGUUCCGGGAGUCAGACAGUGAGUGCUAAGAUCCAUUGUCGAAAGGGAAACAGCCCAGACCAUCAGCUAAGGUCCCCAAGUGUGUGUUAAGUGGGAAAGGAUGUGGAGUUGCACAGACAACCAGGAUGUUGGCUUAGAAGCAGCCACCAUUGAAAGAGUGCGUAAUAGCUCACUGGUCGAGUGACUCUGCGCCGAAAAUGUAACGGGGCUAAACACACCACCGAAGCUAUGGCUUGAUGCUUGCAUCAGGGGUAGGGGAGCGUUGAAUGCGGAUUGAAGGUGUACCGUAAGGAGCGCUGGACUGCAUUCAAGUGAGAAUGCCGGUAUGAGUAACGAAAAGAUCUGUGAGAAUCAGAUCCGCCGAAAGCCUAAGGGUUCCUGAGGAAGGUUCGUCCGCUCAGGGUAAGUCGGGACCUAAGGCGAGGCCGAUAGGCGUAGUCGAAGGACAACAGGUCGAAAUUCCUGUACCACCGUAAUCCGUUAUGAGCGAUGGGGUGACGCAGUAGGGUAGUGACGCGGACUGAUGGAUGUCCGUCUAAGCAGUGAGGCUGGUGUGUAGGCAAAUCCGCACAUCGUAAGGCUGGGCUGUGAUGGGGAGCGAAAAUUGUAGUAGCGAAGGUCAUGAUCUCAGACUGCCAAGAAAAGCCUCUAGCCAGGAGAAGGUGCCCGUACCGCAAACCGACACAGGUAGGCGAGAAGAGAAUUCUAAGGCGCGCGGAAGAACUCUCGUUAAGGAACUCGGCAAAAUGACCCCGUAACUUCGGGAGAAGGGGUGCCUCGGUAGGGUGAAUAGCCCGAGGGGGCCGCAGUGAAAAGGCCCAAGCGACUGUUUAGCAAAAACACAGGUCUGUGCGAAGCCGCAAGGCGAAGUAUACGGGCUGACGCCUGCCCGGUGCUGGAAGGUUAAGGGGAGUGGUAAGCCUUCGGGCGAAGCUAUGAACCGAAGCCCCAGUAAACGGCGGCCGUAACUAUAACGGUCCUAAGGUAGCGAAAUUCCUUGUCAGGUAAAUUCUGACCCGCACGAAUGGCGUAACGACUUGGGCGCUGUCUCAACGAGAGAUCCGGUGAAAUUUUAAUACCUGUGAAGAUGCAGGUUACCCGCGACAAGACGGAAAGACCCCAUGGAGCUUUACUGCAGCUUGAUAUUGAAUUUGGGUACGAUCUGUACAGGAUAGGUGGGAGCCGUAGAACUUUGAGCGCCAGCUUGAAGGGAGGCAUCCUUGGGAUACCACCCUGAUCGUAUCUAGGUUCUAACUUGGUACCGUGAUCCGGUGCGAGGACAGUGUCAGGUGGGCAGUUUGACUGGGGCGGUCGCCUCCUAAAGAGUAACGGAGGCGCCCCAAGGUUCCCUCAGAAUGGUUGGAAAUCAUUCGAAGAGUGCAAAGGCAGAAGGGAGCUUGACUGCGAGACCUACAAGUCGAGCAGGGACGAAAGUCGGGCUUAGUGAUCCGGUGGUACCGCAUGGAAGGGCCAUCGCUCAACGGAUAAAAGCUACCCUGGGGAUAACAGGCUUAUCUCCCCCAAGAGUCCACAUCGACGGGGAGGUUUGGCACCUCGAUGUCGGCUCAUCGCAUCCUGGGGCUGAAGUAGGUCCCAAGGGUUGGGCUGUUCGCCCAUUAAAGCGGUACGCGAGCUGGGUUCAGAACGUCGUGAGACAGUUCGGUCCCUAUCUGUCGUGGGCGUAGGAAAUUUGAGAGGAGCUGUCCUUAGUACGAGAGGACCGGGAUGGACGUACCGCUGGUGUACCAGUUGUUCCGCCAGGAGCACCGCUGGGUAGCUAUGUACGGAAGGGAUAAGCGCUGAAAGCAUCUAAGCGUGAAGCCCCCCUCAAGAUGAGAUUUCCCAGUAUGUAAGACCCCUUGAAGACGACGAGGUAGAUAGGUUGGGGGUGGAAGUGCAGUAAUGCAUGGAGCUGACCAAUACUAAUCGGUCGAGGGCUUAUCCUAA
RNAcentral lists this ribosomal RNA (2928 nucleotides) under Paenibacillus polymyxa. RNAcentral describes it as "bacterial LSU rRNA". It matches the Rfam family "Bacterial large subunit ribosomal RNA". The record is from RNAcentral. Lineage: Bacteria; Bacillati; Bacillota; Bacilli; Caryophanales; Paenibacillaceae.